RNAcentral lists this ribosomal RNA (490 nucleotides) under uncultured bacterium. RNAcentral describes it as "partial 16S ribosomal RNA". It matches the Rfam family "Bacterial small subunit ribosomal RNA", at positions 30 to 507 of the family's 1533-position model. The record is from RNAcentral.
AUUGAACGCUGGCGGCAGGCCUAACAUAUGCAAGUCGAACGGUAACAGGAAGACGCUUGCUUCUUUGCUGACGAGUGGCGGACGGGUGAGUAAUGUCUGGGAAACUGCCUGAUGGAGGGGGAUAACUACUGGAAACGGUAGCUAAUACCGCAUAACGUCGCAAGACCAAAGAGGGGGACCUUCGGGCCUCUUGCCAUCGGAUGUGCCCAGAUGGGAUUAGCUAGUAGGUGGGGUAACGGCUCACCUAGGCGACGAUCCCUAGCUGGUCUGAGAGGAUGACCAGCCACACUGGAACUGAGACACGGUCCAGACUCCUACGGGAGGCAGCAGUGGGGAAUAUUGCACAAUGGGCGCAAGCCUGAUGCAGCCAUGCCGCGUGUAUGAAGAAGGCCUUCGGGUUGUAAAGUACUUUCAGCGGGGAGGAAGGGAGUAAAGUUAAUACCUUUGCUCAUUGACGUUACCCGCAGAAGAAGCACCGGCUAACUCCGUG